Long non-coding RNA from Rhodamnia argentea, 289 nucleotides. RefSeq lists it as uncharacterized. Lineage: Eukaryota; Viridiplantae; Streptophyta; Magnoliopsida; Myrtales; Myrtaceae. The transcript has 2 exons. The record is from RefSeq and is a predicted model, not a curated record.
AGCCAAAUUGUAGUCUUGCAAAUCAAAUACAAACCUACUACAUAAAAUGCAGUCUUCGAGCAUAUGCUCAUAUACCCACUGAUUCCAGCAAAAAGCUUUAAAAAAAACAAGAGCAUUAAGUUCUCAGAAAGAUAAAGUGGAGCAUCAACAUACCCAUAAAACCGGUAGGGUAAGUCUUAUCCGUCCUGACUUUGUUGUCAACAAGGACAUGUCGCUGCAUCAAGAUGGCAAUGACUUCACGAUAUGUAAGAGCAUACUUCAGCCUGUUUCGCAGAAUAAGGAUCAAGGG